This 495-nucleotide unclassified non-coding RNA is filed under the name uncultured Glomeromycotina. Its description in RNAcentral is "SSU rRNA". It matches the Rfam family "Eukaryotic small subunit ribosomal RNA", at positions 591 to 1092 of the family's 1831-position model. Lineage: Eukaryota; Fungi; Glomeromycota. The record is from RNAcentral.
CCAAUAGCGUAUAUUAAAGUUGUUGCAGUUAAAAAGCUCGUAGUUGAACCUUGGGCCUGGCUGGCCGGUCCGCCUCACCGCGUGCACUGGUUCGGCCGGGCCUUUCCCUCUGGGGAACCGCAUGCCCUUCACUGGGUGUGUCGGGGAACCAGGACUUUUACUGUGAAAAAAUUAGAGUGUUCAAAGCAGGCCUAUGCUCGAAUACAUUAGCAUGGAAUAAUAGAAUAGGACGUGUGGUUCUAUUUUGUUGGUUUCUAGGACCGCCGUAAUGAUUAAUAGGGACAGUCGGGGGCAUCAGUAUUCAAUUGUCAGAGGUGAAAUUCUUGGAUUUAUUGAAGACUAACUACUGCGAAAGCAUUUGCCAAGGAUGUUUUCAUUAAUCAGGAACGAAAGUUAGGGGAUCGAAGACGAUCAGAUACCGUCGUAGUCUUAACCAUAAACUAUGCCGACUAGGGAUCGGGCGAUGUUAUUAUUUGACUCGCUCGGCACCUUACG